Molecule: ribosomal RNA, 465 nt
Filed under: Vreelandella stevensii
Lineage: Bacteria; Pseudomonadati; Pseudomonadota; Gammaproteobacteria; Oceanospirillales; Halomonadaceae
Description: partial 16S ribosomal RNA
Rfam family: Bacterial small subunit ribosomal RNA
Source: RNAcentral
CCUACGGGAGGCUGCAGUGGGGAAUAUUGGACAAUGGGGGCAACCCUGAUCCAGCCAUGCCGCGUGUGUGAAGAAGGCCCUCGGGUUGUAAAGCACUUUCAGUGAGGAAGAACGCCUGGUGGUUAAUACCCAUCAGGAAAGACAUCACUCACAGAAGAAGCACCGGCUAACUCCGUGCCAGCAGCCGCGGUAAUACGGAGGGUGCGAGCGUUAAUCGGAAUUACUGGGCGUAAAGCGCGCGUAGGUGGCUUGAUAAGCCGGUUGUGAAAGCCCCGGGCUCAACCUGGGAACGGCAUCCGGAACUGUCAAGCUAGAGUGCAGGAGAGGAAGGUAGAGUUCCCGGUGUAGCGGUGAAAUGCGUAGAGAUCGGGAGGAAUACCAGUGGCGAAGGCGGCCUUCUGGACUGACACUGACACUGAGGUGCGAAAGCGUGGGUAGCAAACAGGAUUAGAUACCCUAGUAGUC